This 498-nucleotide ribosomal RNA is filed under the name uncultured bacterium. RNAcentral's name for it is "partial 16S ribosomal RNA". It matches the Rfam family "Bacterial small subunit ribosomal RNA", at positions 30 to 507 of the family's 1533-position model. The record is from RNAcentral.
CGAACGCUGGCGGCGUGCCUAAUACAUGCAAGUCGAGCGGACUGAUUAAGAGCUUGCUCUUAUGACGUUAGCGGCGGACGGGUGAGUAACACGUGGGCAACCUGCCCUGUAGAUCGGGAUAACACCGAGAAAUCGGUGCUAAUACCGGGUAAUAUCUGAGAUCACAUGAUCUUAGGUUAAAAGAUGGCUCCGGCUAUCACUACAGGAUGGGCCCGCGGCGCAUUAGCUAGUUGGUAAGGUAAUGGCUUACCAAGGCGACGAUGCGUAGCCGACCUGAGAGGGUGACCGGCCACACUGGGACUGAGACACGGCCCAGACUCCUACGGGAGGCAGCAGUAGGGAAUCUUCCGCAAUGGACGAAAGUCUGACGGAGCAACGCCGCGUGAGUGAUGAAGGGUUUCGGCUCGUAAAGCUCUGUUGUUAGGGAAGAAACAGUACCGAACGAACUAGGUCGGUACCUUGACGGUACCUAACCAGAAAGCCACGGCUAACUACGUG